This 790-nucleotide ribosomal RNA is filed under the name uncultured archaeon. RNAcentral's name for it is "bacterial SSU rRNA". It matches the Rfam family "Archaeal small subunit ribosomal RNA", at positions 564 to 1353 of the family's 1478-position model. The record is from RNAcentral.
CGUUAGGCUUUCGGGGGAUACUACCAGGCUUGGGACCGGGAGAGGUAAGAGGUACUACGGGGGUAGGAGUGAAAUCUUGUAAUCCCUGUAGGACCACCAGUGGCGAAGGCGUCUUACCAGAACGGGUCCGACGGUGAGGGACGAAAGCUGGGGGCACGAACCGGAUUAGAUACCCGGGUAGUCCCAGCUGUAAACUAUGCUCGCUAGGUGUCAGGGACGGUGCGACCGUUUCUGGUGCCGCAGGGAAGCCGUGAAGCGAGCCACCUGGGAAGUACGGUCGCAAGGCUGAAACUUAAAGGAAUUGGCGGGGGAGCACUACAACGGGUGGAGCCUGCGGUUUAAUUGGACUCAACGCCGGAAAACUCACCGGGGGCGACAGCAAUAUGUAGGUCAAGCUAAAGACUUUACCAGAAUCGCUGAGAGGAGGUGCAUGGCCGUCGUCAGUUCGUACUGUGAAGCAUCCUGUUAAGUCAGGCAACGAGCGAGACCCGUGCCCACUGUUGCCAGCAUGUCCUUCGGGACGAUGGGUACUCUGUGGGGACCGCCGAUGCUAAAUCGGAGGAAGGUGCGGGCUACGGUAGGUCAGUAUGCCCCGAAUCUCCCGGGCUACACGCGGGCUACAAUGACUGGGACAAUGGGCUCCUACCCCGAAAGGGGAUGGUAAUCUCAUAAACCCAGCCGUAGUUCGGAUCGAGGGCUGCAACCCGCCCUCGUGAAGCUGGAAUCCGUAGUAAUCGCGUUUCAACAUAGCGCGGUGAAUACGUCCCUGCUCCUUGCACACACCCCCCGU